GUUUGCACCGUUAUUAACAUUUAGCUACACAAAACAAUUUUGUGUUUUUUUUUAACAUGGACUCCCAUGAGGUCGCCAAAGUGAGGAAGACAUUUUUGGCCUGUGAAACAUCUGGGGGGUGUCCAGCUGCUUCAGUGGUGGAGAAGUCUGAAGUUGCAGUUCAUAGACAGCAUGAGGAGAGCAAUGCACUGGAUUAGGUACCAUGUUGGAACAAGCAUGAAAUGUCAACAUCGUGACUCCUGGAGAGGAUUUCGAUUGACACAGGUGUGAAAGCAGCAGUGGGUCCUUCUGUGCAAGCACUGCAGGUGCGGAUUCUGUGCUGAGUUGUGACCCCACAG
This 338-nucleotide long non-coding RNA is filed under the name Gallus gallus (chicken). RNAcentral describes it as "lncRNA (ENSGALG00010002013.1)". Lineage: Eukaryota; Metazoa; Chordata; Aves; Galliformes; Phasianidae. The record is from RNAcentral.